GGAGUUAGCCGGUGCUUCUUCUGUGAGUGAUGUCCUUCCUGCCGGCUAUUAACCCGCAGGCCUUCUUCCUCACUGAAAGUGCUUUACAACCCGAAGGCCUUCUUCACACACGCGGCAUGGCUGGAUCAGGGUUGCCCCCAUUGUCCAAUAUUCCCCACUGCUGCCUCCCGUAGGAGUCUGGGCCGUGUCUCAGUCCCAGUGUGGCUGAUCAUCCUCUCAGACCAGCUACGGAUCGUCGCCUUGGUGAGCCGUUACCUCACCAACCAGCUAAUCCGACAUAGGCUCAUCCGAUAGCGCGAGGCCCGAAGGUCCCCCGCUUUCCCCCGUAGGGCGUAUGCGGUAUUAGCCUGGGUUUCCCCAGGUUAUCCCCCACUACCGGGCAGAUUCCUAUGCAUUACUCACCCGUCCGCCGCUCGCCACCAGGGAGCAAGCUCCCCGUGCUGCCGCUCGACUUGCAUGUGUUAGGCCUGCCGCCAGCGUUCAAUCUGAGCCAUAAUCAAAACCUCUAGA
RNAcentral lists this ribosomal RNA (510 nucleotides) under uncultured bacterium. Its description in RNAcentral is "partial 16S ribosomal RNA". The record is from RNAcentral.